This 2180-nucleotide long non-coding RNA is filed under the name Olea europaea subsp. europaea. Lineage: Eukaryota; Viridiplantae; Streptophyta; Magnoliopsida; Lamiales; Oleaceae. The record is from RNAcentral.
AAGAGGUAGGGUUGGCUAUCCCAAUUUCAUCUUCAAUUUGACAAAUUUCUUAGUAUGUUUUAUGCUUAAUUUUUUUGGGUUGUGAUUUAUUGGUUUAAUUUUUAGAUUGAAGGAAGGAAUAUGUUUGCAAACCAAUAUUUUUGAAUUGGGAAGGUUACUUACACUAAGGUAAGAAAUACCAAUUCUGGAGAAAACCUAAAAUUUUUAUUUGGAUUUUUGAAUGAGUAUAGUUAACCGGAAUAAUUGUAGAAUGGAAUACUCAUUUGAAGGCAUGAAUUUAUGGAUCAAGAUGGAAAAUUAAAUUGGUUAAAUUAUAAUUAUUAGUUUUACUAGUUUGGAAGAAGGAAUUAUUUUUAUGUUGAAGUGGAGAUUAUUUUGAUGAAUUAGAUUUUGGUGAAAGGACUAGAAGGUAGAUUUAGUUCCAAUUGUGAGCGAAAUUAAAGAAUAUAUCCAAGUGUCGAGAAGUCAAGUUCUAGUAUUUCGUAGUUAAAAGUUAAGGAUAUUUGGUAGAGUGGUUGUUAAAUUGAUUAUCUUGUAUCAUAUUUCAGGAGAUGACGAGAAGAUUGAAAUAAUUAUCAGUCUAUAAGUUAGUGAGUGGAUAUCAAACUCAUUUUUCAGAAAUUAAUAUUUAUUAGAUUUAUGUUAGAAUAAAAAAUUUGUUAUUUCAUACAGUUGAUUUGACAACAUGAUUUUUAGAAUAAAGUGGAUUUAUAAUCAGUUGUUUUUAAAGUUAAAUUUAGUUCAAUUAAAUCAUUUGAUUAGCAAGUUAUAUGAAAAUUAAAUAUUUCAGCAUAUUUAAAGUUAUUUGUAAAAUCACCAAAAAGUGCCUAGAUGAUUUUACCCUAGUCUGCACUUGUGUGAAUAUGUUUACAUAGUGUAUGGCCAGUUAUGGUUAUUUUACCCUAGUCUGUACUGGUGUAAGUGUGUUUCCACAGUGUAUGACUAGUUAUGGUGAUUUUACCCGCUUUGCAAUAUUGUGAAUGUAUUUCCAUAGUGUAUGAUCAGAUUAUCAGAGGUCUUUGUGUAAUGAUCCGGAUCUCUUUACCCAAAUCGUUAGCUUACGUACUGUCCGCUUUGGGUGGACCUUGCAUCCACUUACCCCUCACGGCUUUCUGUCGCGUUCCCCAGGAUUCAAACUCAUAACUUUUCCCUUAAGUAAUGCUUAAAUUGAAUCCUGGUACCAAUUGGGCAAGUGAAGUCUUUCUUAAGGGAAUGUUAUGAGUUCGCAUCCAGAAGACGCGAUAGAAAGCCGUGAGGGUAAGUGAGCGCAAGGCCCACCCAAAGCGAACAGUACGUAAACUAACGGCUUGGAUAAAGAGACCCAGGUCGUUACACAUUGGGACCUACUCUCGUACACGCAUAGGCUUUGGACUGUGUACUAGGGUGAUUAUCCUUGGGGCAGUACUGCAUACGUAUUACCAGAUUAUCAGAUGUGAAUGGCUUUACCUUGUAUAUCGAGAUUACUCUGUACAUGAGUAAGGCUAUUCAUUGAGUACCUUUUUGGUGUGAUUUUCAGUAUUAUACAGUUUAUCAAAUUUCAGACUACAGAAUUUAGCUUAUUUAGUUUGUAGAGUAAUGAUUUCAGCUUAUAGUAUUGUGAAAUGAUAUUUUCACUUAUAUUUACUGAUAUCAGAUUAUUUAUAUUUGUUAUACUUUAUAGCUGUUUAUCUAGAAUUAAGAACAAAGAAUUUUAUGAUGCAAUCAUAUUUAGUUUUAAAAGAGUUACCAGAUUUCAGAAUUUCUUAAAGUUUUAAUAGAGUAAGAAUUUAAAGAAAAUAUUCAUAAACGAGAAAAGUAUACUUAUUUGCAAACCAUCCACUCACUGUGUUAUAAGCUCAUGUUUUGUCACCCUCUUUCUAAGCAGAUAGUAGCAGAGUUGAGUAGCCUUGGAGCCUGUCGAUCUAUCGAAUUGAGCCACACACACUGCCAUUAUUUGUAUGACUCAUUUUGUCAAUCUAUGGAAUUUAUAUAUUUUUUCUUUGGCACACAUGUUUGUUUGUCAGAAAAAUUAAUUAGCAAGUCAUGUGUCCAUAUCUUGGGCUCACUACAAAUUUGGUAUCCUUAAUAUUUUUGGUGUCUUUUGUUUGUAAAGCAUAGUAAAUAUCAACUUGCCAGUAUUCUAUUUUGAAUAGUUUGUAUUUUAAGGGACUAGUGUGUCCUAUUUUAAAUUAUAUGAACGG